CGGAGGAAUACCAGGACCAGGUGCUGGCGCGCUCUCGCCUUCGGUGCCACCUCUGCGGCCUCCCCUGCUCGUUGUCACGGCAACUCAUUGAGCACCAACAUUCUCAGCACCCCCUGCCAUCUCCUCCCUGCAGUGUCCGCGGUGUUUCAUCACCUUCCGGGACCUGCAGACCAGCCUGCAGCACAUGCGCCUGCAGCACCCCGCUCUCUACGAGCGCCGGCUGCGGGCCCGCACCGUCUUCGCCCGCCGCCGCUGCGAACGCACCUUCCCCUCCUCCCGCCAGCUCUCCACCCACCAGCGAGCCCACCGCCAGGGCCAGGAAGCAGGCCGGGAGGAGGGGGAGGGGCGAGAGGAAGAACGCCAAGAUGCCCAGCUCACAUCGCCCUCCCUGCUUCCCCUUCCUGACCGGCACAAGUGCCCACACUGCAACUUCCUCUUCAGAGAUGCUAAGACCAAAAUGCGCCACAUGAACGUCAAGCACCCCGCAGGCUGCACCCUGCCCCCUCCACUGCUCUUCUCUACAGGAGACGAGGAGAGGGAGGAGGAGGAGGAAGUGGUGAUGGCGGUGCAGGUUAAAGAGGAGGAUGAGGGUGAGGUAAAGCAUGAGGAAGACGAUUUCUCCACAGCUCUCCGUCACCGUGGCAACCUGAAUCCAGCCUCACCGCAUCAGGGCGAGGGCAAGGAGGGCGUGGUCAGGGUGCCAAUCAAGCCUGAUGCAGGAGACGUGAGAACGAAAGAGGAGACGAUAGAGGGAGGUGGGGAAAAGAGUCUCAUGUGCAUCUGAGCAUUCAAUCUAGAAAUCAGGAGUCCUAGUUCUGCAAGACUUAUACCUUCUGAACAUUACACAACUUCAAAAAUUCUUUAAAAAUCCUAACGACGGAGAGCAUCUCAAAUUUCAUGUCCGUCUCUUGUAAAAAUCACUGAUAUCAUGCUUAAAUGGAGAUGUGUGCAUAUUUAUUUUCCUAGCUGCUCGUUUUCUCCUAACAUUUCUCCUAACAGGCUGCACACGCUGGAGCGGCCCUACCUCUGCCAGCGCUUCCAGAAAGAUGCUGGAAGGAAGAGCUGCCUCCAGCUGCGUAACUCACAGGAGUCACUGAUGCCGCCAGUGAGGGCGGGGCCUGAGGGGCGGAGAGGCCAGGAGGAAGAUGGCCCCCGUUCAGUUUGACACUUUGGGUUCUGACUUCUUCUUUUGUCUGUCUAUUUUGCAACGUCCAAACCAGAGACGAAUGUUUGAGCGGCAUAUGUGUCUGAAUAAGUGAUGCCAUUUCAGUUCAGCUGACAGACACAUCUUUGUUUCUUGAAUAAUUAAAAAUAUCCCUGUUUCAAAUCAAAAGUUCCUAUUAUUAUUGUUGUUGUUGUUAUUAUCAUUAUUAUUAUCAUCACAUAAGUUCACUCACACUGCAAGCAACGUGCGAGCGUGUCACUUUUGACAGGAAGUGUAUUCCACCUAGUGGCAGAAUACACUUCCUACCCUAUUCAGGACAGCACAGUCGCUCACCAUCCUAUCAUCUUCUGAAGUUUGAAUUCUUCAAAUUGCACCUACAGCUUGUUGAUAGUUGUUGGUGAAAGCAAAUUGUUACUGUGAUAUUGCAGUAGAACACAGCUACACACAGCAAUCUCAGUUUUAAUGGUCUUUACUGUUCAUAUUCCACACAGUGAUCUAAAAAAUGCAUUCACCAUUAAUAUGUCCAUUCUCCAUUAUAUCAAUUGACAGUUUGUAAUGUUUAAAGUUUUCAGAAUGCAAGAUGGGGAGCAUUUUCCACAAGUAACUGUCAGCUAUAGGUCAGUUAUUAUUAUGCCUCUUAUGGAAAUCUGAUGCAGGAAGAAAAUAAGGUUCUAAUGAUAUCCCCUUCUACGUUUGUUUGAUUAUUAUUUUUUAAUGUAUAAAACACAUUUCUUAUAUUCAGAGCCUCUAUAAAUCUAGCGUAAUAGCAGUAACCAUUCCAAUAAAUUUUUAUUGAAAUUAAAACAGGUGUAUUUUGAUUCACAUUCAAAUGCAUGAACAUUUCAGAGUUCUGAAUGACCCCCUUUCUCAAGGGCUCAGUACCUCUGAGGUUCUAGUGUACUUCACUUAUGUAUUCACUAUUAUCAUCUGU
This is an RNA transcript of Anguilla anguilla (European eel), 2096 nucleotides long. RefSeq lists it as uncharacterized. The transcript is spliced from 5 exons. The record is from RefSeq and is a predicted model, not a curated record. Lineage: Eukaryota; Metazoa; Chordata; Actinopteri; Anguilliformes; Anguillidae.